Molecule: ribosomal RNA, 429 nt
Filed under: bacterium
Lineage: Bacteria
Description: partial 16S ribosomal RNA
Rfam family: Bacterial small subunit ribosomal RNA
Source: RNAcentral
CAGGGAAUCUUCCACAAUGGACGCAAGUCUGAUGGAGCAACGCCGCGUGAGUGAAGAAGGUUUUCGGAUCGUAAAGCUCUGUUGUUGGUGAAGAAGGAUAGAGGCAGUAACUGGUCUUUAUUUGACGGUAAUCAACCAGAAAGUCACGGCUAACUACGUGCCAGCAGCCGCGGUAAUACGUAGGUGGCAAGCGUUGUCCGGAUUUAUUGGGCGUAAAGCGAGCGCAGGCGGAAUGAUAAGUCUGAUGUGAAAGCCCACGGCUCAACCGUGGAACUGCAUCGGAAACUGUCAUUCUUGAGUGCAGAAGAGGAGAGUGGAAUUCCAUGUGUAGCGGUGGAAUGCGUAGAUAUAUGGAAGAACACCAGUGGCGAAGGCGGCUCUCUGGUUUGCAACUGACGCUGAGGCUCGAAAGCAUGGGUAGCGAACAGG